Long non-coding RNA from Gadus chalcogrammus (walleye pollock), 359 nucleotides. RefSeq lists it as uncharacterized. Lineage: Eukaryota; Metazoa; Chordata; Actinopteri; Gadiformes; Gadidae. The transcript has 3 exons. The record is from RefSeq and is a predicted model, not a curated record.
AGGACUGGUAGUUUAAUCUGACGCGUGCAUGAUUUCACUCGAACGCACAUGUCUGAAGACCUUGUUCACGACGUGAUGUGGUUUACGUAAAAUCUCCUGUAUUCCGCACUGUGGACGCACUUCUCGGAUCCGAAGCCGCAGGGAAAAAAAACUAUUGACGAAGAUACUUCGAAGUUACGGCCCAGACAGAAAAUGGCGGACAACACGUUAGAACACCUUGUCCUCAGGAGCUCCUCCGGGGUUUCUCUCAAUCACCGCUUCUCGAAGGUUCUUGAGGCCCCUGCCCCCGGUGAGGUGAAGCUUGAGCCCCUCGUGGACGACCUGUGCUUGGACGACGAUGCCCGGACUGUCCUGCCCAG